Non-coding RNA from Mycena crocata, 95 nucleotides. The record is from the annotation of a GenBank genome assembly. Lineage: Eukaryota; Fungi; Basidiomycota; Agaricomycetes; Agaricales; Mycenaceae.
GACCCAAUGGUGAAAUGAAUCACAUCCGCUUUGAUUGUAAGGACGAUCAUGCCGAUUUCUGGCGGAAGUCACCCGUUCGACUCGGGUUUGGGUCA